This 3564-nucleotide long non-coding RNA is filed under the name Salmo salar (Atlantic salmon). Its description in RNAcentral is "lncRNA (ENSSSAG00000089172.1)". Lineage: Eukaryota; Metazoa; Chordata; Actinopteri; Salmoniformes; Salmonidae. The record is from RNAcentral.
CAGUCUGAGAUACGGCUUUUCCUUUGCAACUCUGCCUAGAAGGCCAGCAUCCCGGAGUCGCCUCUUCACUGUUGACGUUGAGACUGGUGUUUUGCGGGUACUAUUUAAUGAAGCUGCCAGUUGAGGACUUGUGAGGCGUCUGUUUCUCAAACUAGACACUCUAAUGUACUUGUCCUCUUGUUCAGUUGUGCACCGGGGCCUCCCACUCCUCUUUCUAUUCUGGUUAGAGACAGUUUGCGCUGUUCUGUGAAGGGAGUAGUACACAGCGUUGUACGAGAUAUUCAGUUUCUUGGCAAUUUCUCACAUGGAAUAGCCUUCAUUUCUCAGAACGAGAAUAGGCUGACGAGUUUCAGAAGAAAGUCUGUAAUCGAACCUACAAAUGCUGAUGCUCCAGAUACUCAACUAGUCUAAAGAAGGCCCGUUUUAUUGCUUCUUUAAUUAGAACAACAGUUUUAAGCCGUAUCCAGCUACAAUAGUCAUUUACAACAUUAACGAUGUCUUCACUGUAUUUCUGAUCAAUUUGAUGUUAUUUUAAUAGUAAAAAAAAAAGAGCUUUUCUUUCAAAAACAAGGACAUUUCUAAGUGACCCCAAACUUUUGAACGGUAGUGUACAUGUUUUCUGCUGGUUAAGACAUCUCCACUACAGGACCUUGAUGAGUGUGCAUGAAGAGAAUUCUCUUGGUAGAUAAUGCGGUCGGCAUUUUGAUUGUAAGGAAUUCUAAGUCAGGUGAACAAAAGUACUUGAGUUCCGGUGUAAUCACAACAACAUACAGGAACUCAAGUCCUUUUAUUCACCUGACUUAGAAUUCCUUACGAUCAAAUGCCGACCGCAUUAUCUACCAAGAGAAUUCUCUUCGAUUAUAAUCACAGUCGUGUAUAUCCCCCCCUCCAAGCAGACACAUCGACGGCCCUGAAUGAACUUCAGCCUAUAGGCAGAAACUAAAACAGGAAGCGCCCGUGCUCAGGUCUGUUCAACACUGGUCCGACCUAAUCAGAUUUCACGCUUCAGGAUUGCUUCGAUCACGUGGACUGGGAUAUGUUCCGGAUAGCCUCAGACAACAACAUUUAUGUAUACGCUGACUCGGUGAGCGAGUUUAUUAGCAAGUGCAUCGGUGAUGUUGUACUCACUGUGACUAUUAAAACCUUCCCCAACCAGAAACUGUGGCUUGAUGGCAGCAUUCGUGCAAAACUGAAAGCGCGAACCGCUGCUUUUAAUCAGGGCAAGGUGACCGGAAACGUGACCGAAUACAAACAGUGUAGCUAUUCCCUCCGUAAGGCAAUCAAACAAGCUAAGCGUCAGUAUAGAGACAAAGUGGAGUCGCAAUUCAAUGACUCAGACACGAGAGGUAUGUGGCAGGGUCUACAGUCAAUCACGGACUACAAAAAGAAAACCAACCCCGUCGCGGACCCCGAUGUCUUGCUCGCAGACAAACUAAACAACUUCUUUGCUCGCUUUGAGGACAGUACAGUGCCACCCGACACGGCCCGCUACCAAAACCUGCGGGCUCUCCUUCCCGCUACCGCAGCCAACGUGAGUAAAACAUUUAAACGUGUUAAACCCUCGCAAGGCUGCCGGCCCAGACAGCAUCCCCGGCCGCGUCCUCAGAGCAUGCGCAGACCAGCUGGCUGGUGUGUUUACGGACAUAUUCAAUCAAUCCAUAUCGCAGUCUGCUGUUCCCACAUGCUUCAAGAGGGCCACCAUUGUUCCUGUUCCCAAGAAAGCUAAGGUAACUGAGCUAAAUGACUAUCGCCCCGUAGCACUCACUUCCGUCAUCAUGAAGUGCUUUGAGAGACUAGUCAAGGAUCAUAUCACCUCCACCCUACCUGAUACCCUAGACCCACUCCAAUUUGCUUACCGCCCCAAUAGGUCCACAGACGACGCAAUCGCCAUCACACUACACACUGCCCUAUCCCAUCUGGACAAGAGGAAUACCUAUGUAAGAAUGCUGUUCAUCGACUACAGCUCAGCAUUCAACACCAUAGUACCCUCCAAACUCGUCAUUAAGCUCGAGACCCUGGAUCUCGACCCCGCCCUGUGCAUCAUGGUCCUGGACUUCCUGACUGGCCGCCUCCAGGUGGUGAGGGUAGGAAACAACAUCUCCACCCCGCUGAUCCUCAACACUGGGGCCCCCACAAGGGUGCGUUCUCAGCCCUCUCCUGUACUCCCUGUUCACCCAUGACUGCGUGGCCAUGCACGCCUCCAACUCAAUCAUCAAGUUUGCAGACGACACUACAGUAGUAGGCUUGAUUACCAACAACGACGAGACGGCCUACACGGAGGAGGUGAGGGCCCUCAGAGUGUGGUGUCAGGAAAAUAACCUCACACUCAACGUCAACAAAACAAAGGAGAUGAUCGUGGACUUCAGGAAACAGCAGAGGGAGCACCCCCCUAUCCACAUCGACGGGACAACAGUGGAGAAGGUGGAAAGUUUUAAGUUCCUCGGCGUACACAUCACGGACAAACUGAAAUGGUCCACCCACACAGACAGUGUGGUGAAGAAGGCGCAACAGCGCCUCUUCAACCUCAGGAGGCUGAAGACAUUUGGCUUGUCACCAAAAACACUCACAAACUUUUACAGAUGCACAAUCGAGAGCAUCCUGUCGGGCUGUAUCACCGCCUGGUACGGCAACUGCUCCGCCCACAACCGUAAGGCUCUCCAGAGGGUGGUGCGGUCUGCACAACGCAUCACCGGGGGCAAACUACCUGCCCUUCAGGACACCUCCACCACCCGAUGUCACAGGAAGGCCAAAAUAUAAUCAAGGUCAUCAACCACCCGAGCCACUGCCUGUUCACCCUGCUAUCAUCCAGAAGGCGAGGUCAGUACAGGUGCAUCAAAGCUGGGACCGAGAGACUGAAAAACAGCUUCUAUCUCAAGGCCAUCAGACUGUUAAACAGCCAUCACUAACAUUGAGUGGCUGCUGCCAACAUACUGACUCAUCUCUAGCCACUUUAAUAAUUAAACAUUGGAUGUAAUAAAUGUAUCACUACCCACUUUAAACAAUGCCACUUUAUUUAAUGUUUUCAUACCCUACAUUACUCAUCUCAUACUGUACUCUAUACCAUCUACUGCAUCUUGCCUAUGCCGUUCGGCCAUCGCUCAUCCAUAUAUUUAUAUGUACAUAUUCUUAUUCAUUCCUUUACACUUGUGUGUAAAAGGUAGUUGUUGUGAAAUUGUUAGAUUACUUGUUAGAUAUUACUGCACGGUCGGAACUAGAAGCACAAGCAUUUCGCUACACUCGCAUUAACAUCUGCUAACCAUGUGUAUGUGACCAAUAAAAUUUGAUUUGAUUUGUAGAAUAGUGUCAUGUUUCUAAUGGCCAAGACAUCUCCACUACAGGACCUUGAUGAGUGUGGAUGUUGAAUAGUAUCAUGUUUAUUGUAGUGGCUGAAGGGUUCAGUUGUCUGUUUGUCCCUAAGGAGUCCAAAGUAGGUUAGGAGUUUCCUAGUCUUGGAGUAUAACCUUACACAUCUAUAAAUAUGCUAAUUCUAAGUUAGGAGUUUUCUAGUCUAGGAGUAUAAUAUAUAAAUAUCUAUAAAUAUGCUAAUUAUAAGUUAGGAGUUUC